This 202-nucleotide ribosomal RNA is filed under the name Escherichia coli. RNAcentral describes it as "partial 23S ribosomal RNA". It matches the Rfam family "Bacterial large subunit ribosomal RNA", at positions 2092 to 2294 of the family's 2925-position model. Lineage: Bacteria; Pseudomonadati; Pseudomonadota; Gammaproteobacteria; Enterobacterales; Enterobacteriaceae. The record is from RNAcentral.
CGUGAACCUUUACUAUAGCUUGACACUGAACAUUGAGCCUUGAUGUGUAGGAUAGGUGGGAGGCUUUGAAGUGUGGACGCCAGUCUGCAUGGAGCCGACUUGAAAUACCACCCUUUAAUGUUUGAUGUUCUAACGUGGGCCCCUUACCGGGGUUGCGGACAGUGUCUGGUGGGUAGUUUGACUGGGGCGGUCUCCUCCUAAA